CCCUGUGUAGCUCAGUUGGUAGAGCAUGGUGCUUGCAACGCCGGGGUUGCGGGUUCAAUUCCCACCGGGGA
Molecule: non-coding RNA, 71 nt
Organism: Oncorhynchus gorbuscha (pink salmon)
Lineage: Eukaryota; Metazoa; Chordata; Actinopteri; Salmoniformes; Salmonidae
Source: the annotation of a RefSeq genome assembly